GACGUGCUAAUCUGCGAUAAGCGUCGGUAAGGUGAUAUGAACCGUUAUAACCGGCGAUUUCCGAAUGGGGAAACCCAGUGUGAUUCGUCACACUAUCAUUAACUGAAUCCAUAGGUUAAUGAGGCGAACCGGGGGAACUGAAACAUCUAAGUACCCCGAGGAAAAGAAAUCAACCGAGAUUCCCCCAGUAGCGGCGAGCGAACGGGGAGCAGCCCAGAGCCUGAAUCAGUGUGUGUGUUAGUGGAAGCGUCUGGAAAGGCGUGCGAUACAGGGUGACAGCCCCGUACACAAAAAUGCACAUACUGUGAGCUCGAUGAGUAGGGCGGGACACGUGGUAUCCUGUCUGAAUAUGGGGGGACCAUCCUCCAAGGCUAAAUACUCCUGACUGACCGAUAGUGAACCAGUACCGUGAGGGAAAGGCGAAAAGAACCCCGGCGAGGGGAGUGAAAAAGAACCUGAAACCGUGUACGUACAAGCAGUGGGAGCACGCUUAGGCGUGUGACUGCGUACCUUUUGUAUAAUGGGUCAGCGACUUAUAUUCUGUAGCAAGGUUAACCGAAUAGGGGAGCCGAAGGGAAACCGAGUCUUAACUGGGCGUUAAGUUGCAGGGUAUAGACCCGAAACCCGGUGAUCUAGCCAUGGGCAGGUUGAAGGUUGGGUAACACUAACUGGAGGACCGAACCGACUAAUGUUGAAAAAUUAGCGGAUGACUUGUGGCUGGGGGUGAAAGGCCAAUCAAACCGGGAGAUAGCUGGUUCUCCCCGAAAGCUAUUUAGGUAGCGCCUCGUGAAUUCAUCUCCGGGGGUAGAGCACUGUUUCGGCAAGGGGGUCAUCCCGACUUACCAACCCGAUGCAAACUGCGAAUACCGGAGAAUGUUAUCACGGGAGACACACGGCGGGUGCUAACGUCCGUCGUGAAGAGGGAAACAACCCAGACCGCCAGCUAAGGUCCCAAAGUCAUGGUUAAGUGGGAAACGAUGUGGGAAGGCCCAGACAGCCAGGAUGUUGGCUUAGAAGCAGCCAUCAUUUAAAGAAAGCGUAAUAGCUCACUGGUCGAGUCGGCCUGCGCGGAAGAUGUAACGGGGCUAAACCAUGCACCGAAGCUGCGGCAGCGACGCUUAUGCGUUGUUGGGUAGGGGAGCGUUCUGUAAGCCUGUGAAGGUGUGCUGUGAGGUAUGCUGGAGGUAUCAGAAGUGCGAAUGCUGACAUAAGUAACGAUAAAGCGGGUGAAAAGCCCGCUCGCCGGAAGACCAAGGGUUCCUGUCCAACGUUAAUCGGGGCAGGGUGAGUCGACCCCUAAGGCGAGGCCGAAAGGCGUAGUCGAUGGGAAACAGGUUAAUAUUCCUGUACUUGGUGUUACUGCGAAGGGGGGACGGAGAAGGCUAUGUUGGCCGGGCGACGGUUGUCCCGGUUUAAGCGUGUAGGCUGGUUUUCCAGGCAAAUCCGGAAAAUCAAGGCCGAGGCGUGAUGACGAGGCACUACGGUGCUGAAGCAACAAAUGCCCUGCUUCCAGGAAAAGCCUCUAAGCAUCAGGUAACAUCAAAUCGUACCCCAAACCGACACAGGUGGUCAGGUAGAGAAUACCAAGGCGCUUGAGAGAACUCGGGUGAAGGAACUAGGCAAAAUGGUGCCGUAACUUCGGGAGAAGGCACGCUGAUACGUAGGUGAAGCGACUUGCUCGUGGAGCUGAAAUCAGUCGAAGAUACCAGCUGGCUGCAACUGUUUAUUAAAAACACAGCACUGUGCAAACACGAAAGUGGACGUAUACGGUGUGACGCCUGCCCGGUGCCGGAAGGUUAAUUGAUGGGGUUAGCGCAAGCGAAGCUCUUGAUCGAAGCCCCGGUAAACGGCGGCCGUAACUAUAACGGUCCUAAGGUAGCGAAAUUCCUUGUCGGGUAAGUUCCGACCUGCACGAAUGGCGUAAUGAUGGCCAGGCUGUCUCCACCCGAGACUCAGUGAAAUUGAACUCGCUGUGAAGAUGCAGUGUACCCGCGGCAAGACGGAAAGACCCCGUGAACCUUUACUAUAGCUUGACACUGAACAUUGAGCCUUGAUGUGUAGGAUAGGUGGGAGGCUUUGAAGUGUGGACGCCAGUCUGCAUGGAGCCGACCUUGAAAUACCACCCUUUAAUGUUUGAUGUUCUAACGUGGACCCGUGAUCCGGGUUGCGGACAGUGUCUGGUGGGUAGUUUGACUGGGGCGGUCUCCUCCUAAAGAGUAACGGAGGAGCACGAAGGUUGGCUAAUCCUGGUCGGACAUCAGGAGGUUAGUGCAAUGGCAUAAGCCAGCUUGACUGCGAGCGUGACGGCGCGAGCAGGUGCGAAAGCAGGUCAUAGUGAUCCGGUGGUUCUGAAUGGAAGGGCCAUCGCUCAACGGAUAAAAGGUACUCCGGGGAUAACAGGCUGAUACCGCCCAAGAGUUCAUAUCGACGGCGGUGUUUGGCACCUCGAUGUCGGCUCAUCACAUCCUGGGGCUGAAGUAGGUCCCAAGGGUAUGGCUGUUCGCCAUUUAAAGUGGUACGCGAGCUGGGUUUAGAACGUCGUGAGACAGUUCGGUCCCUAUCUGCCGUGGGCGCUGGAGAACUGAGGGGGGCUGCUCCUAGU
Molecule: ribosomal RNA, 2602 nt
Filed under: Shigella flexneri
Lineage: Bacteria; Pseudomonadati; Pseudomonadota; Gammaproteobacteria; Enterobacterales; Enterobacteriaceae
Description: partial 23S ribosomal RNA
Rfam family: Bacterial large subunit ribosomal RNA
Source: RNAcentral